CCAUUAAGUAGCAGACCCUUAUAAACUGGGCCAAAACCACCCUGUCCAAGUAUGUUAGCUGGAGAGAAAUUGUUAGUGGCACCAAGCAUAGCGCUGAUACCAAAAAAUUCCAAGUGUGGAUUGAUUUCAAUUCCACCAAGCCCAUUUAAUCCAUCUUCAUGGAAGCUUAAACCAUCCAUAGGAUGAACUGAUCUUUUGUUCUUUUUGUCUCUCGUUG
Molecule: unclassified non-coding RNA, 217 nt
Filed under: Hevea brasiliensis (rubber tree)
Lineage: Eukaryota; Viridiplantae; Streptophyta; Magnoliopsida; Malpighiales; Euphorbiaceae
Source: RNAcentral